RNAcentral lists this ribosomal RNA (497 nucleotides) under uncultured bacterium. Its description in RNAcentral is "partial 16S ribosomal RNA". It matches the Rfam family "Bacterial small subunit ribosomal RNA", at positions 28 to 507 of the family's 1533-position model. The record is from RNAcentral.
GAUGAACGCUGGCGGCGUGCCUAAUACAUGCAAGUCGAGCGAACAGACGAGGAGCUUGCUCCUCUGACGUUAGCGGCGGACGGGUGAGUAACACGUGUAUAACCUACCUAUAAGACUGGGAUAACUUCGGGAAACCGGAGCUAAUACCGUAUAAUAUAUUGAACCGCAUGGUUCAAUAGUGAAAGACGGUUUUGCUGUCACUUAUAGAUGGAUCCGCGCCGCAUUAGCUAGUUGGUAAGGUAACGGCUUACCAAGGCAACGAUGCGUAGCCGACCUGAGAGGGUGGUCGGCCACACUGGAACUGAGACACGGUCCAGACUCCUACGGGAGGCAGCAGUAGGGAAUCUUCCGCAAUGGGCGAAAGCCUGACGGAGCAACGCCGCGUGAGUGAUGAAGGUCUUCGGAUCGUAAAACUCUGUUAUUAGGGAAGAACAAAUGUGUAAGUAACUAUGCACGUCUUGACGGUACCUAAUCAGAAAGCCACGGCUAACUACGUG